This 375-nucleotide ribosomal RNA is filed under the name uncultured bacterium. RNAcentral describes it as "bacterial SSU rRNA". It matches the Rfam family "Bacterial small subunit ribosomal RNA", at positions 521 to 896 of the family's 1533-position model. The record is from RNAcentral.
UAAUACGAAGGGGGCUAGCGUUGCUCGGAAUCACUGGGCGUAAAGGGCGCGUAGGCGGCUGUUCAAGUCGGGGGUGAAAGCCUGUGGCUCAACCACAGAAUGGCCUUCGAUACUGGACGGCUCGAGACCGGAAGAGGUCAGUGGAACUGCGAGUGUAGAGGUGAAAUUCGUAGAUAUUCGCAAGAACACCAGUGGCGAAGGCGGCUGACUGGUCCGGUUCUGACGCUGAGGCGCGAAAGCGUGGGGAGCAAACAGGAUUAGAUACCCUGGUAGUCCACGCCGUAAACGAUGGAUGCUAGCCGUUGGCGCGCUUGCGCGUCAGUGGCGCCGUUAACACUUUAAGCAUCCCGCCUGGGGAGUACGGUCGCAAGAUUA